UCUUUAGGAACUGGGGCGGCUAUAAUGCAGUCGAGCGAAGAGAUGGGAGCUUGCUCCCAGAUCUUAGCGGCGGACGGGUGAGUAACACGUGGGCAACCUGCCCUGCAGACUGGGAUAACUCCGGGAAACCGGAGCUAAUACCGGGUAAUACAUCGCACCGCAUGGUGCAAUGUUGAAAGUUGGCUUUCUGAGCUAACACUGCAGGAUGGGCCCGCGGCGCAUUAGCUAGUUGGUAAGGUAAUGGCUUACCAAGGCAACGAUGCGUAGCCGACCUGAGAGGGUGAUCGGCCACACUGGGACUGAGACACGGCCCAGACUCCUACGGGAGGCAGCAGUAGGGAAUCUUCCGCAAUGGACGAAAGUCUGACGGAGCAACGCCGCGUGAGUGACGAAGGCCUUCGGGUCGUAAAGCUCUGUUGUUAGGGAAGAACAAGUACCGUUCGAAUAGGGCGGUACCUUGACGGUACCUAACCAGAAAGCCACGGCUAACUACGUGCCAGCAGCCGCGGUAAUACGUAGGUGGCAAGCGUUGUCCGGAAUUAUUGGGCGUAAAGCGCGCGCAGGCGGUCUUUUAAGUCUGAUGUGAAAGCCCACGGCUCAACCGUGGAGGGUCAUUGGAAACUGGAGGACUUGAGUGCAGAAGAGGAGAGUGGAAUUCCACGUGUAGCGGUGAAAUGCGUAGAUAUGUGGAGGAACACCAGUGGCGAAGGCGGCUCUCUGGUCUGUAACUGACGCUGAGGCGCGAAAGCGUGGGGGAGCAAACAGGAUUAGAUACCCUGGUAGUCCACGCCGUAAACGAUGAGUGCUAGGUGUUGGGGGGUUCCACCCUCAGUGCUGAAGUUAACACAUUAAGCACUCCGCCUGGGGAGUACGACCGCAAGGUUGAACUCAAAGGAUUUGACGGGGGCCCGCACAAGCAGUGGAGCAUGUGGUUUAAUUCAAGCAACGCGAAGAACCCUUACCAGGUCUUGACAUCCUCUGACAAUCCUGGAGACAGGACGUUUCCCCUUCCG
Molecule: ribosomal RNA, 1013 nt
Filed under: Bacillus sp. A-25
Lineage: Bacteria; Bacillati; Bacillota; Bacilli; Caryophanales; Bacillaceae
Description: bacterial SSU rRNA
Rfam family: Bacterial small subunit ribosomal RNA
Source: RNAcentral